AGCAACGCCGCGUGCGGGAGGACGGCCUGUGGGUUGUAAACCGCUUUUCUCAGGGAAGAAGAUCUGACGGUACCUGAGGAAUCAGCAUCGGCUAACUCCGUGCCAGCAGCCGCGGUAAUACGGAGGAUGCAAGCGUUAUCCGGAUUUAUUGGGCGUAAAGCGUCCGCAGGCGGCUAAUCAAGUCUGCUGUUAAAGGCCGAGGCUUAACUUCGGUUGAGCAGUGGAAACUGAUUAGCUAGAGUGCGAUAGGGGUAGAGGGAAUUCCCAGUGUAGCGGUGAAAUGCGUAGAUAUUGGGAAGAACACCAGUGGCGAAGGCGCUCUACUGGGUCGCAACUGACGCUGAGGGACGAAAGCUAGGGGAGCGAAAGGGAUUAGAUACCCCUGUAGUC
RNAcentral lists this ribosomal RNA (390 nucleotides) under uncultured cyanobacterium. RNAcentral's name for it is "bacterial SSU rRNA". It matches the Rfam family "Bacterial small subunit ribosomal RNA", at positions 390 to 795 of the family's 1533-position model. The record is from RNAcentral. Lineage: Bacteria; Bacillati; Cyanobacteriota.